RNA transcript from Magnolia sinica, 1741 nucleotides. RefSeq lists it as uncharacterized. Lineage: Eukaryota; Viridiplantae; Streptophyta; Magnoliopsida; Magnoliales; Magnoliaceae. The transcript has 5 exons. The record is from RefSeq and is a predicted model, not a curated record.
AGAAACUCGCGGACUUCAUUUCAAGUAACCAAGCUCAGCCUCGAUGCCUGAGAGAGUCAGGAGUACUGGGAAUGAACGAUGAUGAAGCGGUUGGAGCGCGUUCGCACAUCUCUCCUCUCUUCCCUCUCAUCUACAACACAAACGGCUAAUGGAAGUGGGGCCCCUUGUUCAUCGUCGUCUUCCCUGAUCAUGGCGGGCCCCAUUCCUUCCCUCAAUCGCCCAACACCAGCAAUAACUCAGAAGUGUCUUCUGGAAAACGGCAGCAAUGGCUAUAGAAACAUGCAUUACUUCUCUCGCGAUCCCUUCUUCCAUCAUUCACUCGUCGUCCGUUUCUCAUCCACAACGACAACAACAACAACAUCUGAUGAAGAAGAGAUCAGCGACGAGGGAUGGGAAGACGAAGAGGAUGAAGAGACAGAGCCCCAGAUCGGCGAUGGAGGGGAUGGUGGUGGGGUUGUGCUGCGGGGUGUCCCGUGGGGCCAACGCACUCUAUCUGAAGCUCAGGAGGUCCUCCACCUCCACUUCAGCAAUGACAUGAGUCUAUUUUCUUUCAAGACUUCUCCUCGUGGAUACAUUUAUGUCCGCCUCGAUAAGCUUUCCAACAUGUAUGGGUGCCCAAGCAUGGAGGAGAUCGAAAAUUUCAGCUCCCUUUACAAGAAACGACUUGAUGAGAUUGGAGAAUGUGGGGAGAUACCCCUAGAUUUGGCUCUUGAGGUGUCAUCUCCAGGAGCAGAGCGAAUACUGAAGGUGCCGGAUGACUUGGAUCGCUUCAAAGACAUGCCCAUGCAUGUACAGUACAUGGAAGAAGACAACACAACAGAAUCGAACAACAACAACAACAGAAGUUACCGGCGGCAGCAACUGGAAAUGGAGGGGGUGUUCCUGCUGGAUUCAAUUGAAACUGAAUCAGGGUAUUGUGUGUGGAAGCUGGCUGAUGUGAAGGAGAACAGGGAUGCAUCUGCCAAAGGAAGGUUAUUGAGCAGGAAGCAGAAGGAUUGGAGGCUGAGGUUGCCCUUUCAAUUGCUGAGAAGGGUGACAUUGUACCUGGAAUUUUGAUCAUUGUACUUCACAUUGUUAUAGCAAUCAGUCCCUGGGACAAAAAGGAGUGAGUGAGAAAGGUCCAUCUGCCAAUCAUUUCUCCAUAUUCAUGCCUGUGUUUCCUAGUAUUGCUUGUGUUGGUGGCACAUAUCCGGAUAAGGAUGUUGAACCUCACGGUUGACAGAGACAGGAGGACUUUGUAGAGUGCUGAAAAGAUCCCUCUUUGAGGCAGGUUACUGCUAUUCAAUUCAACAGAGCAUGGGUUACCCGCCUAAUCUCUGCCAUCUGGUGUGACAGUCUUGUCCAUGACGGUCAAAGGGGGCUUGUAUUUUUCAGGCAGGUGGAGUUAGGCAACUCGGGUGGAGUGGACUUAGUGGGCAUCAAAGAGGGCUUGUAUUACCGCCAGUCUCCUGAUAACAUUUGCACUUGACCGCCAAUUCCCAUAUUUGAUUUGUUGGUGAUUAUGUGGCAAUUUGUACAUUACUUGUUUGAUUUUUCAUUUACCAAUGUAAUUCAUGGUAAAUGACUAAUGAUUAUUUACCCAUGUAAUUACAGCAACAGUUCCAAGGUUGACGUUACAUUCACAUAAUUUUCACGUGUAAAAGUUAUGGGGCCACCAAAAGGAAUUGACACAAGAUGUCACCCUCCUUUCCAUCAGUUCACUAACUCUGAAUCGCGUUUAAUCUAAUCGAAUUUCAUCGAA